This is a long non-coding RNA of Gossypium raimondii (Peruvian cotton), 897 nucleotides long. RefSeq lists it as uncharacterized. The transcript is spliced from 3 exons. NCBI's taxonomy places the organism in Eukaryota, Viridiplantae, Streptophyta, Magnoliopsida, Malvales, Malvaceae. The record is from RefSeq and is a predicted model, not a curated record.
AUAUAACACAUUCUCCAAAACACAGGUAAAUCAUUUCACAAUUUUCGAAAAACGUCUUGCCGAUUUCUAACAUGUAAGACAUUUUCUAUUCUCUUCUCUUCACUCACAUCACAGUGGUUCUCCAUUCCUCUCUAUCCAUUAGCCUCCGCCUCUCCUUCUCAUCUCUGUUCGUUGGCCUCACCUCAUCAUCUCUGCCUUGUCUUCUCUCUUGGUCAACCGUGGUCCUUACCAAGUUUGUAUUUUGAAGAAACCCUAAAAAAUUAGCAGCCACAGUCCAGUUGUUACGUUCCCUUGCACGCAUCUUUUCCAAAACCAAUGAUAGCAAUGGUAAUCUCUUUUCUUCUAUUUCUAAAAUAAUUAGUGACAGUGGUUUUUUUUUGUUGGAUUACAUUAGUUUUCAUUAUUUCAAUUGCUGUCAUUCUUAUAAAUCAGGUUGCUGGUUAUGCUGUUGGAGGAGGGCAUGCUUUACAUAUGGUUUGUGAUCUGACCAUUGCUGCGGAUAAUGCUAUUUUCGGUUAAACUGGUCCCAAGGUGGGAAGUUUUGAUGCUGGUUAUGGAAGUUCCAUAAUGUCCCGUUUGGUAAACAACAAGAAAGAUGGAGGCUUUUAUUUGGCAUGAUACUCGUUGUUCGUUUUACAUGCAAUCUGAACAGUGUGUUUGAUCUGGAUUCGAUUAACAGGUUGGACCUAAAAAGGCGCACCAAAUGUGGUUUCUUGCCAGGUUUUACACUGCCUCUAAGGUAGAAAAAAUGAGGCUUGUGAAUGCUGUUGUACCGGUAAGUUGUUCUUGUAUGAAGAGUGCCACUCAUUCAGCCUAUUCCCUCAAAUAGAUAUGUCGAAACCAUUUUUUGAAAACAAAAAUUUAUUGUCGACUUUUAAAAAACGAAAAUUGGAGUCA